Molecule: ribosomal RNA, 497 nt
Filed under: uncultured bacterium
Lineage: Bacteria
Description: partial 16S ribosomal RNA
Rfam family: Bacterial small subunit ribosomal RNA
Source: RNAcentral
GAUGAACGCCGGCGGCGUGCCUAAUACAUGCAAGUCGAGCGAACAGACGAGGAGCUUGCUCCUCUGACGUUAGCGGCGGACGGGUGAGUAACACGUGGAUAACCUACCUAUAAGACUGGGAUAACUUCGGGAAACCGGAGCUAAUACCGGAUAAUAUAUUAAACCGCAUGGUUCAAUAGUGAAAGACGGUUUUGCUGUCACUUAUAGAUGGAUCCGCGCCGCAUUAGCUAGUUGGUAAGGUAACGGCUUACCAAGGCAACGAUGCGUAGCCGACCUGAGAGGGUGAUCGGCCACACUGGAACUGAGACACGGUCCAGACUCCUACGGGAGGCAGCAGUAGGGAAUCUUCCGCAAUGGGCGAAAGCCUGACGGAGCAACGCCGCGUGAGUGAUGAAGGUCUUCGGAUCGUAAAACUCUGUUAUUGGGGAAGAACAAAUGUGUAAGUAACUAUGCACGUCUUGACGGUACCUAAUCAGAAAGCCCCGGCUAACUACGUG